This 23-nucleotide small nuclear RNA is filed under the name Arabidopsis thaliana (thale cress). RNAcentral's name for it is "snRNA_04790". Lineage: Eukaryota; Viridiplantae; Streptophyta; Magnoliopsida; Brassicales; Brassicaceae. The record is from RNAcentral.
GUAAAAAGCUUUAUUGCUUCCAU